GGCUACUAAAGAAUUUUUCUAAUGUCUGUUUUACAAUAAUCUCAAUUUGUUUAUUGUUCUUUUUUGCCGUUAAUGUCUUUUUUAAGGUACUAGUCUUAUAUAGUUUUGAUGAAGGUCCUGCUUCAUCUUCACUUUUUGGCAAAGUGACAGCCCUUAACGGAUUUGAUUUGUCUUUACCGAUUACCGUUUGAGCCAGACUAGCUGCACCAACAUCCGGUACAGUGGAUUUCUGAGCAUUC
Molecule: long non-coding RNA, 239 nt
Filed under: Capsicum annuum
Lineage: Eukaryota; Viridiplantae; Streptophyta; Magnoliopsida; Solanales; Solanaceae
Description: long non-coding RNA (CANN_LNC001918)
Source: RNAcentral